This 772-nucleotide ribosomal RNA is filed under the name uncultured bacterium. Its description in RNAcentral is "bacterial SSU rRNA". It matches the Rfam family "Bacterial small subunit ribosomal RNA", at positions 100 to 869 of the family's 1533-position model. The record is from RNAcentral.
GAACGGGUGAGUAAUACAUAAAUAAUCUACCAUAAUGACUGGGAUAACCAAUGGAAACGCUGGCUAAUACCGGAUAGGUAAAACGAGGGCAUCUUUGUUUUAUUAAAGUAGGACUACUACACAAUAUGAUGAGUUUAUGGCGCAUUAGCUAGUUGGUGAGGUAACGGCUCACCAAGGCGAUGAUGCGUAGCCGACCUGAGAGGGUGACCGGCCACACUGGGACUGAGACACGGCCCAGACUCCUACGGGAGGCAGCAGUAGGGAAUUUUCGGCAAUGGGCGCAAGCCUGACCGAGCAACGCCGCGUGAGUGAAGAAGGCCUUCGGGUUGUAAAGCUCUGUUGUAAGGGAAGAACACUUUUUAGAGGAAAUGCUAGAGAGCUGACGGUACCUUACCAGAAAGCCACGGCUAACUACGUGCCAGCAGCCGCGGUAAUACGUAGGUGGCGAGCGUUAUCCGGAAUUAUUGGGCGUAAAGGGUGCGUAGGCGGUUUAUUAAGUCUGUGGUGAAAGUGCGGGGCUCAACCCCGUAUGGCCACAGAAACUGAUAGACUAGAGUACAGGAGAGGGCAGUGGAAUUCCAUGUGUAGCGGUAAAAUGCGUAGAUAUAUGGAGGAACACCGGUGGCGAAGGCGGCUGCCUGGCCUGUAACUGACGCUGAGGCACGAAAGCGUGGGGAGCAAAUAGGAUUAGAUACCCUAGUAGUCCACGCUGUAAACGAUGAUUACUAAGUGUUGGAGAAAUUCAGUGCUGCAGUUAACGCAAUAAGUNNUC